This 146-nucleotide long non-coding RNA is filed under the name Monodelphis domestica (gray short-tailed opossum). Its description in RNAcentral is "lncRNA (ENSMODG00000043740.1)". The record is from RNAcentral. Lineage: Eukaryota; Metazoa; Chordata; Mammalia; Didelphimorphia; Didelphidae.
UACUGGAAUAUUUCGCAAGAGAUUUUGUUAUCCCCCUGAGUGGAAUGAGCAGAACCAAUUGGACAUUUUAUACAGCAACAGAAAUAUUUGAAAAAUGACUUGAGCAUGUCCACUUCCAGAGAAAGAACUGGAAACCUCCAAACCAG